AAAACAUAGUCUAUAGUUUUUUUAUUGUAGAUUACAUCUGCUCAAUGAUUUAAACAGAUUAAAUAGCCGCAGUACUUUGACUGUGCUAAGGUAGCAAAAUAAUUUGACUUUUAAUUGGGGCCCCGCAUGAAUGAAUAAAUGGUUAAAACUUGUCUCUUUUGUUUAAUUAAAAAUUUACUUAGUUGGUGAAAAUUCCAAUAAAUAAAAUAUUAGACGAGAAGACCCUUAGAAUUUUGAAUAGAUUAAAUUAAUGUUUUAUUUUUUUUUGUUGGGGCGACAUUAUAAACAUAAAAUGAACUUAUAAUAUAUACAAGACUAAUAGUUAAAAAUGAAUAUAAUUACCUUAGGGAUAACAGCACAAUAUUUUUUUUGUUUGUGACCUCGAUGUUGGAUUAGGGUCAAGACCGGUUAAAAAUUAUUUUUGUUAUUUCUGUUCGAAAUUAGCUUACCUACGUGAUCU
This 460-nucleotide ribosomal RNA is filed under the name Meghimatium fruhstorferi. RNAcentral's name for it is "partial 16S ribosomal RNA". The stretch from base 1 to 141 matches the Rfam family "Eukaryotic large subunit ribosomal RNA", at positions 2148 to 2329 of the family's 3401-position model. Lineage: Eukaryota; Metazoa; Mollusca; Gastropoda; Stylommatophora; Philomycidae. The record is from RNAcentral.